GGCGGAUGUAGCCAAGUGGAUCAAGGCAGUGGAUUGUGAAUCCACCAUGCGCGAG
Molecule: transfer RNA, 55 nt
Filed under: Chenopodium quinoa (quinoa)
Lineage: Eukaryota; Viridiplantae; Streptophyta; Magnoliopsida; Caryophyllales; Amaranthaceae
Also listed under: 1 other name
Description: partial tRNA-His
Rfam family: tRNA
About the family: Transfer RNA (tRNA) molecules are approximately 80 nucleotides in length. Their secondary structure includes four short double-helical elements and three loops (D, anti-codon, and T loops).
Source: RNAcentral